RNAcentral lists this ribosomal RNA (738 nucleotides) under uncultured bacterium. Its description in RNAcentral is "bacterial SSU rRNA". It matches the Rfam family "Bacterial small subunit ribosomal RNA", at positions 9 to 747 of the family's 1533-position model. The record is from RNAcentral.
GAGUUUGAACCUGGCUCAGGAUGAACGCUGGCGGCGUGCCUAACACAUGCAAGUCGAGCGAAGCACUUUAAUUUGAUUCUUCGGAUGAGGAUUUUUGUGACUGAGCGGCGGACGGGUGAGUAACGCGUGGGCAACCUGCCUUACACAGGGGGAUAACAGUUAGAAAUGACUGCUAAUACCGCAUAAGACCACAGUACUGCAUGGUGCAGUGGUAAAAACUCCGGUGGUGUAAGAUGGGCCCGCGUCUGAUUAGGUAGUUGGCGGGGUAACGGCCCACCAAGCCGACGAUCAGUAGCCGACCUGAGAGGGUGACCGGCCACAUUGGGACUGAGACACGGCCCAGACUCCUACGGGAGGCAGCAGUGGGGAAUAUUGCACAAUGGGGGAAACCCUGAUGCAGCGACGCCGCGUGAGCGAUGAAGUAUUUCGGUAUGUAAAGCUCUAUCAGCAGGGAAGAAAAUGACGGUACCUGACUAAGAAGCCCCGGCUAACUACGUGCCAGCAGCCGCGGUAAUACGUAGGGGGCAAGCGUUAUCCGGAUUUACUGGGUGUAAAGGGAGCGUAGACGGCGGUGCAAGCCAGAUGUGAAAGCCCGGGGCUCAACCCCGGGACUGCAUUUGGAACUGUGCUGCUAGAGUGUCGGAGAGGCAGGCGGAAUUCCUAGUGUAGCGGUGAAAUGCGUAGAUAUUAGGAGGAACACCAGUGGCGAAGGCGGCCUGCUGGACGAUGACUGACGUU